Molecule: non-coding RNA, 73 nt
Organism: Dryococelus australis
Lineage: Eukaryota; Metazoa; Arthropoda; Insecta; Phasmatodea; Phasmatidae
Source: the annotation of a GenBank genome assembly
ACACUGGUAGCUCAGUCGUAAGAGCAUUUGACCAGCAAUAAGAAGGUGCCAGGCUCAAAACCCUGCUGGAGUU